GCCAAAAUUUAGGGAAACCCUAAGCUGAUACUUGGCCAUUUGAAAAGAAAACAAACAGGACUAAGGUCUCCCCCCCAACUCUCAUUCGGUCCGCCGCUCAGCCAUUGUUCCACCACCGUAUCGAUAGGUGAAGGUGCACAAAGGUGUCUUAUUACUCUCCGUUUAGAGCCAAGCCUCAAAGGCCGUUGAUUUUAGCCCCAAAAUCCUAUCUUCGACUUCGAUGUCAACGAAGGAGAUGAGGAUCCCGAUGGCUCGUAAGCGAAGGUACAAGACGUGCUGGCGCUCGUUGGCCCUUGGCGUGUGGCGUACGGAGGCUCGGACGUGGUCGUUCGGGGUUGAAGGCUCAUGGAAGCUGGGACUGCUGCAGCGUAAGCAGACGGCUAGGGUUCUGAAGUCUUUUGGGCCAUUUGGGCCUCGUAACUUUGGACUAUUUUGUAAAUGGGCUAGGGUAUUAGUUAUAAGGUCAUGUAAUUGGGAUUGGGUAUUGGGCUGUAGGGUAUUUGGGUCUAGGUUUGUUAAUUAUGUGGUUUUUUAUUGUUUAUUUAUUUUGUUAUUAUUAUUUAUUUUGGGUUUCUAGUGGGCCCGAGCGAAUUGGCCCGUUUACAACCACACUUAACUUUUACUUACUAAUAUCUAAACUCACAUUUUGGA
Gossypium arboreum is the source of this 651-nucleotide long non-coding RNA. RefSeq lists it as uncharacterized. NCBI's taxonomy places the organism in Eukaryota, Viridiplantae, Streptophyta, Magnoliopsida, Malvales, Malvaceae. The record is from RefSeq and is a predicted model, not a curated record. The transcript has 2 exons.